RNAcentral lists this ribosomal RNA (206 nucleotides) under uncultured bacterium. RNAcentral's name for it is "partial 16S ribosomal RNA". It matches the Rfam family "Bacterial small subunit ribosomal RNA", at positions 568 to 774 of the family's 1533-position model. The record is from RNAcentral.
CGCGUAGGCGGCCCCGUAAGUGGUGUGUGAAAUGCCCUGGCUCAACCAGGGAAUAGCGCUCCAAACUGCGGGGAUUGAGGACAGUAGAGGAAGCUGGAAUUCCAGGUGUAGCGGUGAAAUGCGUAGAUAUCUGGAGGAACACCGUUGGCGAAGGCGAGCUUCUGGGCUGUUCCUGACGCUGAAGCGCGAAAGCUGGGGAGCAAACA